RNAcentral lists this long non-coding RNA (1527 nucleotides) under Anser cygnoides (Swan goose). Its description in RNAcentral is "lncRNA (ENSACDG00005001922.1)". The record is from RNAcentral. Lineage: Eukaryota; Metazoa; Chordata; Aves; Anseriformes; Anatidae.
CGGUAAUGAGCCUAAGACAGUGGAAAGGCAAAGUUUCUCACGGGGCGGGGGGUUGUGGUGAAGAUGUUCAUUCCUUUUCUUUUGUUCAAGAGCUGUCUUUGAAGGCAUUGUUCUUCCACAGCUGCAGUAGCCUACAUUCAUUGUGAUAAUUGUGGGACAAUAUGUAGGAUGGAUGAUUGAUACAUGAGAUAAAGUUGUGUAAGACUAUUACUAGAAAAUCAUAUGGAGAUAAUAAAUUAUGCAAAGGCAGCUCAGAUGCUAAGGACAAUUUUAGUGGGGUGCAAUAAGGGAAAGGCUACAGCAGAUCCAAACAGGGCUAAAAAUGGGUCAGAGAAAGAAAACACAACAGUCCCUGUAACUAAUCACGUAAUAUGACACGAGUUGAAGUAUUACAGACAGGUAAGGAAGAAAAAAUACAGUAAGUACCUCACGGACAGAAAAUGGUCUUGGCUGAAAUGCUACUGCACUCCCUGUGCACCUCACCUCUUUUUCCGUAUCAGAACAAGGACUGAGUGUGCCGUCUUCCUUUGGUAGGGAAUCCAGGCAUGCGGGCAGGGUCUGGCUCUCUGGGAGGCUGGCACCACAAGGCACACAGCAGGGCUUGCAGAGCAGCCUACAUGCAGCUGAAAAGGCAGCAAGAUGCAAAGGUGGAGAGACUGCCGGCUUCCCAAACGUCAGAUGGACUCAGAGCAUUUGAAGCAGAGCACAGCAGAUGCUGUAAGAAAUGAAGACCCGGUUGGCUGCUUUGGGGUAGGAGCAAGCAGUGGAAGGAGGAACAGUAUGGGCAGUCCUGUCAGGUUAAUCCCCUUCACCCCAUGGUUGCGGGUUUCUCUCCCCUUGGACAAUAAAGGGAAAAUAGUUGCUGACUAAGAGGAUGUGAUUGCCUCCACUGGUACGAACUUGCUCAGACUCCCUGCUCUAAAUGCAGCCUCAGAAAGGAUGGAGAAGGGAGAGUUGCCUUGCAUUUCUCACUGUUGUAUGCAUAGUACAGUACUGAUCUGCACAACUUGUAUUAGCAUGUCAGUCAGUGGUAGGUGAUGUCUUUGCAAUAGUUCUACACUGUCCUAAUAAGGCUUCUAUAUCUAAAUUUGUGGAAAUGUAGAAAAGCCUCCUGUGGCACGAUAUAAUCUUUGGGAAUUUGAUGCAAAGCCUGUUGAAGGUGGUGAAACGAAUCUAUUGAUUUCAGUGGAUUUUAGAGGAUUGGAAACAGAUACGUGAUUUGGACCAGAGCAUUAGCCUAACUGAUAAUAUUAUUGUCUGCAGCAGCACAGCAUUUCCCAUGCUGUGCUAGAUCACCUUAAGAUGUUUAGGGAAGUAUAAGAGGUCCAAUUUUCCUUUUACCUCCCAAAAUACUUUAAACAUUUCGGUUGCUUAUGUUAAUCUUUUACAAUAUUGCAUUUGAGAAAUACAGGCAGCACAAUAUACAUACAGGCACAGGAUGUUUAUGAAACUGUGAAAAUCUUGUUUUACGUUGUGGAAACAACCUUUAUUCAUGAUGUUACACAUUAUGUUUCAGCCCACAGGGAA